GAUGAACGCUGGCGGCGUGCCUAAUACAUGCAAGUCGAGCGAACAGACGAGGAGCUUGCUCCUCUGACGUUACCGGCGGACGGGUGAGUAACACGUGGAUAACCUACCUAUAAGACUGGGAUAACUUCGGGAAACCGGAGCUAAUACCGGAUAAUAUAUUGAACCGCAUGGUCCAAUAGUGAAAGACGGUUUUGCUGUCACUUAUAGAUGGAUCCGCGCCGCAUUAGCUAGUUGGUAAGGUAACGGCUUACCAAGGCAACGAUGCGUAGCCGACCUGAGAGGGUGAUCGGCCACACUGGAACUGAGACACGGUCCAGACUCCUACGGGAGGCAGCAGUAGGGAAUCUUCCGCAAUGGGCGAAAGCCUGACGGAGCAACGCCGCGUGAGUGAUGAAGGUCUUCGGAUCGUAAAACUCUGUUAUUAGGGAAGAACAAAUGUGUAAGUAACUAUGCACGUCUUGACGGUACCUAAUCAGAAAGCCACGGCUAACUACGUG
Molecule: ribosomal RNA, 497 nt
Filed under: uncultured bacterium
Lineage: Bacteria
Description: partial 16S ribosomal RNA
Rfam family: Bacterial small subunit ribosomal RNA
Source: RNAcentral